RNAcentral lists this ribosomal RNA (277 nucleotides) under Saemundssonia grylle. Its description in RNAcentral is "partial 12S ribosomal RNA". The record is from RNAcentral. Lineage: Eukaryota; Metazoa; Arthropoda; Insecta; Psocodea; Philopteridae.
AGAAAAAAAAAACACAUUUUGAGAAAAAGGAUUGCUUCUGGCGGUCCCUAAACCUACUAGAGGCUUAUGCGUUUGAAAACGAAUCUGCGCGAAAAACCUUUCCCUUUUUUGAAAAAAUACACUCUGCCCACCUCUGUCUGAAGGAGAAGGUCUCUCUUUUCCUACUCCUUAAAAAGGAGUAAGGCAAGUAUAAGUGUAGGCUAUGAAAGGAAAGAACGUGUAAGCCGUUUCCUGUUCUCUUUUCUGAAAAAGAGAGAAAGAAGAAUUUAGCAGUAAG